Cyprinus carpio carpio is the source of this 338-nucleotide long non-coding RNA. The record is from Ensembl. NCBI's taxonomy places the organism in Eukaryota, Metazoa, Chordata, Actinopteri, Cypriniformes, Cyprinidae.
CGGCAAUUAACGGGUUAAUCCGAAGCAUCAAGACUUUGAAAUCACAUACACAGAACAAUAUUCAUUAAGAAAGUGAAAUUAAAUGAUUAAUAAACUAUUUAUUCGAACCCUUGCUAUUUUCUAUUCUAAUAAGAGUCUUGGCUGUGGAACACCUGUAAUAGAGUUGGCUAGCUGGAUGCAAAUAAAGUCAUGCCUUUUAUUUGUUCCCCUGUUUGCUAUUUCACAUUCCUGUCACUGAAGCGUUGUGGCCAAAGACACAGAAGGUAACUGAAACAAUGUGGUUUAAGUCAAGGUGAUUAUUAGGGGUCCAAGCACAUUGGUUUGUGUAGAUGAUGCAG